Chenopodium quinoa (quinoa) is the source of this 1381-nucleotide long non-coding RNA. RefSeq lists it as uncharacterized. The transcript has 2 exons. The record is from RefSeq and is a predicted model, not a curated record. Lineage: Eukaryota; Viridiplantae; Streptophyta; Magnoliopsida; Caryophyllales; Amaranthaceae.
CGUUUUGCAAGUUAUUUUCUCUCUCCUCCUUCAUCAUCAUUGUUGAAGAAACCCAUGAAUUUCCCUCAAUUGCAGCUAUUCUCUCUCAUCUCCUUUUGGAUUUCCAGCAAAACCUACGAUUCUCCCCCUCUUUCUCUCAAAACCCUAAAAUCAAUCGGCGAUCAACGUAUCAAAGAUCAGCAUUUCACAAAAACCGAUUUCUUAGACGCCGAAAUCCUGUUUUUGCAAUCCUUGAGUUUUGAGGUCGGAAUCAUGAAGAAUUCGGUGUUUUUGGUGAUUGAAGAAUUGAUGAUGAAGCUUAAAGAGGUGGCUAGGGUUGGUGAGAUGGUGAGCAUCGAGGUUUGUUGUGAUGUCAUAGAUUAAAUGUACGAGAACGAUGAGAUUUCGCGGAUGAGAAUUCGGUGUUUUUGGAUGAGGUUUGUUUCUUCUUCUUUUGCAGCAUAAGAACAAAUCUUGAUGUGGUACUUUUAGGAAAUUUUGGCUUGCGUUACUUUAAUGAGUUAAAAUGUUGUUUGGACAAGGAAACGAUAGAAGAAAAAGAUUUCGAUCUGUAUCACACAGUUCAAAUUUCUUUUAUUGUUCAAAUCCCUCACAUUCUCUCUCUGAAAUUUCGACUCAAGGGCUUCACUUAGAUGAAGAUUAAAUCGGCGAUAUUCAAUUAUUCAUCAUCAAAUUGUUGAUAUUAGAAAUGGUUCAGGGAGCAUGCACCCAGUUCCAAGUACCUCCUUGCUCCCUCAAAGCAUCCGGUCUGCUCCAUCCAAAAUCCAAACCGGUCACGGGUCUAGCAGUUCAACAUGUGUCAACAAUAAUGGAAGUCAAUCACUUAGCAGUAAUGGAUCUAUUCUAGAGAAUGGUACACAUGCUAAUGGGUUGCUUGAGAACGAGAAGAAAAAAGAAAAUGGCAGGUUGUUUGGGAGAUUGACUGAAGCAGACAUGUACGAGAGCACCCGAUAUGAUGCAAUCCUACUAAAAGAGGAUCUGAAGAACACUACAUGGCUGCAUAGCGUGGAUAAUAUGUCUGAUCAGUGUUCCAUUUUUGAAAAUGGGUUUGAGCCUCUGCCAUAAUUAUUUGGCCUCUCAUGAUUCGUUCUUCGUUUUCGUAUUUUACAUAUAUCCGAUCUUUCAAAUUGAUUAUAUCAAAAGUUAUCUGAUUAUCUCUGCGUGAUCGAAUGUCUCAUUUUUGUUUGGAGAAGAACUGAAUGUUUGUUAAUUAAUUGUUUUGCAAGGAAAUGUCUAGGCUUCCCAUGUUCCCGAGUCUUGAUGUAAUUGAUAAGUACAUUAUAACUUAAUGCCCUAGAUACUCCAGGCAAUAGUCAUAUAGUUCUGUACAUUUGAUUCAUUUCGCAAUGAUAUAUAUUGAUGAUUAUGUGUUAUCAUUUAA